AUUGAACGCUAGCGGGAUGCUUUACACAUGCAAGUCGAACGGCAGCGCGGACUACGGUCUGGCGGCGAGUGGCGAACGGGUGAGUAAUGUAUCGGAACGUGCCCAGUAGCGGGGGAUAACUACGCGAAAGCGUAGCUAAUACCGCAUACGCCCUACGGGGGAAAGCAGGGGAUCGUAAGACCUUGCACUAUUGGAGCGGCCGAUAUCGGAUUAGCUAGUUGGUGAGGUAACGGCUCACCAAGGCGACGAUCCGUAGCUGGUUUGAGAGGACGACCAGCCACACUGGGACUGAGACACGGCCCAGACUCCUACGGGAGGCAGCAGUGGGGAAUUUUGGACAAUGGGGGCAACCCUGAUCCAGCCAUCCCGCGUGUGCGAUGAAGGCCUUCGGGUUGUAAAGCACUUUUGGCAGGAAAGAAACGUCGCGGGCUAAUACCCCGUGGAACUGACGGUACCUGCAGAAUAAGCACCGGCUAACUACGUG
This 484-nucleotide ribosomal RNA is filed under the name uncultured bacterium. Its description in RNAcentral is "partial 16S ribosomal RNA". It matches the Rfam family "Bacterial small subunit ribosomal RNA", at positions 30 to 507 of the family's 1533-position model. The record is from RNAcentral.